GGAAAACUUACCAGGUCCAGACAUAGUGAGGAUUGACAGAUUGAGAGCUCUUUCUUGAUUCUAUGGGAGGUGGUGCAUGGCCGUUCUUAGUUGGUGGAGUGAUUUGUCUGGUUAAUUCCGUUAACGAACGAGACCCCCGCCUGCUAAAUAGGUCCGUGAAUGAAUUUCAUUGGCGAGAUCUUCUUAGAGGGACUUUUGGUGACUAACCAAAGGAAGUUGGGGGCAAUAA
This 229-nucleotide ribosomal RNA is filed under the name uncultured eukaryote. Its description in RNAcentral is "partial small subunit ribosomal RNA". It matches the Rfam family "Eukaryotic small subunit ribosomal RNA", at positions 1208 to 1456 of the family's 1831-position model. The record is from RNAcentral.